RNAcentral lists this ribosomal RNA (481 nucleotides) under uncultured bacterium. RNAcentral describes it as "partial 16S ribosomal RNA". It matches the Rfam family "Bacterial small subunit ribosomal RNA", at positions 30 to 507 of the family's 1533-position model. The record is from RNAcentral.
UUGAACGCUGGCGGCAUGCCUUACACAUGCAAGUCGAACGGUAACAGGUCUUCGGACGCUGACGAGUGGCGAACGGGUGAGUAAUACAUCGGAACGUGCCCGAUCGUGGGGGAUAACGAGGCGAAAGCUUUGCUAAUACCGCAUACGAUCUACGGAUGAAAGCGGGGGAUCUUCGGACCUCGCGCGGACGGAGCGGCCGAUGGCAGAUUAGGUAGUUGGUGGGAUAAAAGCUUACCAAGCCGACGAUCUGUAGCUGGUCUGAGAGGAUGAUCAGCCACACUGGGACUGAGACACGGCCCAGACUCCUACGGGAGGCAGCAGUGGGGAAUUUUGGACAAUGGGCGAAAGCCUGAUCCAGCCAUGCCGCGUGCAGGAUGAAGGCCUUCGGGUUGUAAACUGCUUUUGUACGGAACGAAAAGCCUCUUUCUAAUAAAGAGGGGUCAUGACGGUACCGUAAGAAUAAGCACCGGCUAACUACGUG